UACGGCUGCUCAGUAACACGUAGUCAACUUACCCUAUGGACGAGGAUAAUCUCGGGAAACUGAGCAUAAUACUCGAUAGAUCAUAAUGCCUGGGAUGGUUUAUGGUUGAAAUGAUUCAUCGCCAUAGGAUGGGACUGCGGCCUAUCAGCUUGUUGGUGAGGUAAUGGCCCACCAAGGCGAUUACAGGUACGGGCUCUGAGAGGAGAAGCCCGGAGAUGGGUACUGAGACAAGGACCCAGGCCCUAUGGGGCGCAGCAGGCGAGAAAACUUUGCAAUGUGCGAAAGCACGACAAGGUUAAUCCGAGUGAUUUCUGCUAAAGAAAUCUUUUGCAAGUCAUAAAACCACUAGUGAAUAAGGGGUGGGCAAGUUCUGGUGUCAGCCGCCGCGGUAAAACCAGCACCUCAAGUGGUCAGGAGGAUUAUUGGGCCUAAAGCAUCCGUAGCCGGCUCUGUAAGUUUUCGGUUAAAUCCAUGUGCUCAACGCAUGGGCUGCCGAAAAUACUGCAUAGCUAGGGAGUGGGAGAGGUAGACGGUACUCGGUAGGAAGGGGUAAAAUCCUUUGAUCUAUCGAUGACCACCUGUGGCGAAGGCGGUCUACCAGAACACGUUCGACGGUGAGGGAUGAAAGCUGGGGGAGCAAACCGGAUUAGAUACCCGGGUAGUCCCAGCUGUAAACGAUGCAGACUCGAUGAUGCAUUGGCAUAUAGCCAGUGCAGUGUCGCAGGGAAGCCGUUAAGUCUGCCGCCUGGGAAGUACGUACGCAAGUAUGAAACUUAAAGGAAUUGGCGGGGGAGCAG
Molecule: ribosomal RNA, 797 nt
Filed under: uncultured marine thaumarchaeote
Lineage: Archaea; Thermoproteati; Nitrososphaerota
Description: bacterial SSU rRNA
Rfam family: Archaeal small subunit ribosomal RNA
Source: RNAcentral